CCCUGACAGUCGCAUGGUGCGGCUGACACUUGCCACGACAGGAGAAAUGACAUG
Molecule: non-coding RNA, 54 nt
Filed under: unclassified sequences
Description: Mu-gpT-DE RNA
Rfam family: Mu-gpT-DE RNA
Source: Rfam by way of RNAcentral